GUGAAUCAUCGAAUUUUUGAACGCAAAUUGCACUCCCUGGUAUUCCGGGGAGUAUGCCUGUUUGAGGGUCGUUAGAAGAAAAAUCGAAGCGUCGCUCUUUUUUUUUAGGGUGAUAGCGUCGGAAUUGAGUUGUGUUUCAUAUGUUAAUUCAUGUCUAAGUGGCUUGAAAUUCAUCCAUCCGGUACGAUUAAAGCGUAUUUAAGAUCACUCUUGUUUAAGAACGCGUGAUGACGUAGCAUCUCAUGUAGUACGUUUGCACUGGGUCAU
This 267-nucleotide unclassified non-coding RNA is filed under the name Funneliformis mosseae. RNAcentral describes it as "partial contains 5.8S ribosomal RNA and internal transcribed spacer 2". The stretch from base 1 to 71 matches the Rfam family "5.8S ribosomal RNA", at positions 84 to 154 of the family's 154-position model. The record is from RNAcentral. Lineage: Eukaryota; Fungi; Glomeromycota; Glomeromycetes; Glomerales; Glomeraceae.